This 1529-nucleotide ribosomal RNA is filed under the name Escherichia coli. RNAcentral describes it as "partial 23S ribosomal RNA". It matches the Rfam family "Bacterial large subunit ribosomal RNA", at positions 1 to 1563 of the family's 2925-position model. RNAcentral also lists the same sequence under 1 other name. Lineage: Bacteria; Pseudomonadati; Pseudomonadota; Gammaproteobacteria; Enterobacterales; Enterobacteriaceae. The record is from RNAcentral.
GGGUUGUGAGGUUAAGCGACUAAGCGUACACGGUGGAUGCCCUGGCAGUCAGAGGCGAUGAAGGACGUGCUAAUCUGCGAUAAGCGUCGGUAAGGUGAUAUGAACCGUUAUAACCGGCGAUUUCCGAAUGGGGAAACCCAGUGUGUUUCGACACACUAUCAUUAACUGAAUCCAUAGGUUAAUGAGGCGAACCGGGGGAACUGAAACAUCUAAGUACCCCGAGGAAAAGAAAUCAACCGAGAUUCCCCCAGUAGCGGCGAGCGAACGGGGAGCAGCCCAGAGCCUGAAUCAGUGUGUGUGUUAGUGGAAGUGUCUGGAAAGGCGCGCGAUACAGGGUGACAGCCCCGUACACAAAAAUGCACAUGCUGUGAGCUCGAUGAGUAGGGCGGGACACGUGGUAUCCUGUCUGAAUAUGGGGGGACCAUCCUCCAAGGCUAAAUACUCCUGACUGACCGAUAGUGAACCAGUACCGUGAGGGAAAGGCGAAAAGAACCCCGGCGAGGGGAGUGAAAAAGAACCUGAAACCGUGUACGUACAAGCAGUGGGAGCCCUGAUUUAUCAGGGUGACUGCGUACCUUUUGUAUAAUGGGUCAGCGACUUAUAUUCUGUAGCAAGGUUAACCGAAUAGGGGAGCCGGAGGGAAACCGAGUCUUAACUGGGCGUUAAGUUGCAGGGUAUAGACCCGAAACCCGGUGAUCUAGCCAUGGGCAGGUUGAAGGUUGGGUAACACUAACUGGAGGACCGAACCGACUAAUGUUGAAAAAUUAGCGGAUGACUUGUGGCUGGGGGUGAAAGGCCAAUCAAACCGGGAGAUAGCUGGUUCUCCCCGAAAGCUAUUUAGGUAGCGCCUCGUGAAUUCAUCUCCGGGGGUAGAGCACUGUUUCGGCAAGGGGGUCAUCCCGACUUACCAACCCGAUGCAAACUGCGAAUACCGGAGAAUGUUAUCACGGGAGACACACGGCGGGUGCUAACGUCCGUCGUGAAGAGGGAAACAACCCAGACCGCCAGCUAAGGUCCCAAAGUCAUGGUUAAGUGGGAAACGAUGUGGGAAGGCCCAGACAGCCAGGAUGUUGGCUUAGAAGCAGCCAUCAUUUAAAGAAAGCGUAAUAGCUCACUGGUCGAGUCGGCCUGCGCGGAAGAUGUAACGGGGCUAAACCAUGCACCGAAGCUGCGGCAGCGACACUGUGUGUUGUUGGGUAGGGGAGCGUUCUGUAAGCCUGUGAAGGUGUGCUGUGAGGCAUGCUGGAGGUAUCAGAAGUGCGAAUGCUGACAUAAGUAACGAUAAAGCGGGUGAAAAGCCCGCUCGCCGGAAGACCAAGGGUUCCUGUCCAACGUUAAUCGGGGCAGGGUGAGUCGACCCCUAAGGCGAGGCCGAAAGGCGUAGUCGAUGGGAAACAGGUUAAUAUUCCUGUACUUGGUGUUACUGCGAAGGGGGGACGGAGAAGGCUAUGUUGGCCGGGCGACGGUUGUCCCGGUUUAAGCGUGUAGGCUGGUUUUCCAGGCAAAUCCGGAGAAUCAAGGCUGAGGCG